This 466-nucleotide ribosomal RNA is filed under the name uncultured bacterium. RNAcentral's name for it is "partial 16S ribosomal RNA". It matches the Rfam family "Bacterial small subunit ribosomal RNA", at positions 28 to 507 of the family's 1533-position model. The record is from RNAcentral.
GAUGAACGCUGGCGGCGUGCUUAACACAUGCAAGUCGAACGAUGAAGCCCAGCUUGCUGGGUGGAUUAGUGGCGAACGGGUGAGUAACACGUGAGUAACCUGCCCUUAACUCUGGGAUAAGCCUGGGAAACUGGGUCUAAUACCGGAUAGGAGCGUCCACCGCAUGGUGGGUGUUGGAAAGAUUUAUCGGUUUUGGAUGGACUCGCGGCCUAUCAGCUUGUUGGUGAGGUAAUGGCUCACCAAGGCGACGACGGGUAGCCGGCCUGAGAGGGUGACCGGCCACACUGGGACUGAGACACGGCCCAGACUCCUACGGGAGGCAGCAGUGGGGAAUAUUGCACAAUGGGCGCAAGCCUGAUGCAGCGACGCCGCGUGAGGGAUGACGGCCUUCGGGUUGUAAACCUCUUUCAGUAGGGAAGAAGCGAAAGUGAGGGUACCUGCAGAAGAAGCACCGGCUAACUACGUG